AUAUCACUCUCUCUUUCAAUAUUUUACCCGAUUUGUCUUGUUCUAGAAUUAAAUGAUGUAGUGAGGAUACUUCCCCCACCUAUAACAAAAAUAAAUCGGAUCUUCGACCGUCUUUGACAGUUACUGGUUCAGUUUUGCCUUGAAUUUCGACGAGUACGCAUCGCAGUUCUCACAGUACGCAUUCUCCGCAAUUAAUAGAGAAGAGUUAAUGUAAGUACGAAAUUAUAUCACUCUCUCUUUCAAUAUUUUACCCGAUUUGUCUUGUUCUAGAAUUAAAUGAUGUAGUGAGGAUACUUCCCCCACCUAUAACAACAAUAAAUCGGAUCUUCGACCGUCUUUGACAGUUACUGGUUCAGUUUUGCCUUGAAUUUCGACGAGUACGCAUCGCAGUUCUCACAGUACGCAUUCUCCGCAAUUAAUAGAGAAGAGUUAAUAAUUAAAUGGUGUAGUGAGGAUAUUUCCCCCACCUAUGACAAUAACAAAUCGGAUCUUCGACCGUCUUUGACAGUUACUGGUUCAGUUUUGCCUUGAAUUUCGACCAGUACACAUCGCAGUUCUCACAAAUUAAAUGGUGUAGUGAGGAUAUUUCCCCCACCUAUGACAAUAACAAAUCGGAUCUUCGACCGUCUUUGACAGUUACUUGUUCAGUUUUGCCUUGAAUUUCGACGAGUACGCAUCGCAGUUCUCACAAUAUACAUUCUCCGCAAUUAAUAAAGAAGAGUUAAUGUGGGUACAAAAUUAUAUCAUUCGUUCUUUCAAUAUUCUAUACGAUUUGUUGUGUUUCAGAAUUAAAUG
This is a long non-coding RNA of Vespula vulgaris, 795 nucleotides long. RefSeq lists it as uncharacterized. The transcript is spliced from 3 exons. The record is from RefSeq and is a predicted model, not a curated record. NCBI's taxonomy places the organism in Eukaryota, Metazoa, Arthropoda, Insecta, Hymenoptera, Vespidae.